Myotis lucifugus (little brown bat) is the source of this 78-nucleotide non-coding RNA. The record is from Rfam. Lineage: Eukaryota; Metazoa; Chordata; Mammalia; Chiroptera; Vespertilionidae.
GAGAUACCCUUAUGGGGCAGGACUUGCUUCAGUGGGGCUUUGGUGCUCACUGAGUCUGCCUCUUGAGUGUGUGUCUCU